AAUUGGUCACGCAUUAACAUCGCCAAGUUUGAGUAUUUUGCUAGACACCAUUAAGCAUUGUGUUAAACUGACUAACAUUUCUUAUGAAGUUUACUUCCACCACAAAUAGCAUCUAUGAACUGUAUGGCUUUUGCCACUGGCCGUUUUAAAAGCUUAGAAGUCAGUAAUACUAGUAUCUUACCACUUGGAAUAGUAAUAAGAAUUAAGCAAUUGCUAGCAAGUGUCAGGUUCCUGUGUGUUUGGGGAAACAUGAUAUUUGGUUGGAGUCUGGCUGUUUUUCUUCUGCUUGUGUGUGCUUGUUAGGUGCAGGUGGGCGUGGCUGUGCAGGGGUUGGUCCCUCGUUCGGCGCAGCUGCUGUUGAUCAGCUCAUCAACCUGUAUAAGAACUUCGUGAUCCAGCGCCAGAUUUUUCUUCGUCCUCUCGUGUUGGAUACCUUGGACUCUGCACUGCCUUCUCACCCGCCUACCACAGCCGAAGACCAAUACUUAAUGAAUCAUUCUCCCAGAACUGGGAUCGCCUUUUUUCAAGACUCAAUCAUUAAAUCCUUAUUUUUACUUCCGUCGUCUGAGCCUGUUUUUGAGUCCGCUAUUACAAACCAUAACAGCCCAAUCUGGCCACCAUGGACUCCGCAGGUUCAGACAUUCCUCGUCAAGCACUCAGCGCGUGUUAGUAGGAAGCCACGAACAGGUCAUCCAGGAAUUCCAGCACUCCCUCCAACUACUCACGCACAAUGUCGAUCAGCUAAACCUGAAGUUGGAUCAAAUAGCCAACCACCUGGUUGCCAGUGUUACACCAACGUCCGUCUCUGGUCCUGGUUCCCUCUGCAUCACCUGUUACCGUGACUCUGGUUCAAAACCAACCCCAUCUAUCCCGUGAGCCAUUCUUUCCUCUACCCGAGCGGUACUCCGGUGAUUUAGGUAACUGUGGGAGAUUUUUGUUUCAGUGCGGCCUGGUUUUUCAACAACAACCCACUACCUAUUUAACCGAUAGAUCACGUAUCAAUUUAAUUAUGGGGCUACUGACGGGUAGGGCAGCUAAGUGGGUUAUGGCGUUAAGUGAACGCAACUCGGGUGUCUGUAACAACUACGUGGAAUUCGUUGAGGAUAUGAGCAAAGUAUUUGAUCACCCAGUACGUGGCAGAGAGGUAGUAGACUGUUUUCCAUUACAAAAGGCAGUAAUUCGGUGGCAGAAUACUCUGUGGAUUUUCGUAUAUUAGUUACCGAGAGUGGGUGGCGACAACCAGCACUGCAGUCAGCUUGUAUUCGGGGUUUAUCUGAUGAGAUCAGAAGUCAGAUGGCACUCCAAGCAGAAACAAGGGAACUUGAUGACAUUAUCUCAUUAGCCGUUCGCAUUGACAACAGUUUGAGAGAACACAGACGAGACAAAGACCGCAAUAAAACUAGACCGUCGAGGGACUCACAACCUCGAUCUAGUCCAAAGCACUUCACUGUGAUAGAAGCGUACAUCAGUGUAGUCCCCCCGAUUUGACUCUUAUCCCUCCUGUCUAUCAUGAUUUAGGUGAGGUUUUCAAUAAGCAAAAAGCUCUCUCUCUGCCAUCCCACCGUCCUUAUGAUUGCGCUAUUGAACUGUUGCAUGGUGCCACAUUGCCAGCUAGUCGGUUGUUUAAACUAUCCAGGCCUGAGAGAGAAGAUAUGGAGAAUUACAUUUCAGAGUCUGUUGAGAUAAAUGAAGUUUAAAUAAUGCUGAUUUAAUAACCAUGUAUUCUUAUGUUUUUGUUUUAUUAAAUUGUAUGCUGCAG
Molecule: long non-coding RNA, 1759 nt
Organism: Esox lucius (northern pike)
Lineage: Eukaryota; Metazoa; Chordata; Actinopteri; Esociformes; Esocidae
Source: Ensembl